Molecule: ribosomal RNA, 823 nt
Filed under: Stachybotrys echinatus
Lineage: Eukaryota; Fungi; Ascomycota; Sordariomycetes; Hypocreales; Stachybotryaceae
Description: Memnoniella echinata partial large subunit ribosomal RNA
Rfam family: Eukaryotic large subunit ribosomal RNA
Source: RNAcentral
AUUGCCUCAGUAACGGCGAGUGAAGCGGCAACAGCUCAAAUUUGAAAUCUGGCCCCAGGCCCGAGUUGUAAUUUGCAGAGGAUGCUUUUGGCGCGGUGCCUUCCGAGUUCCCUGGAACGGGACGCCAUAGAGGGUGAGAGCCCCGUCUGGUUGGACACCAAGCCUCUGUAAAGCUCCUUCGACGAGUCGAGUAGUUUGGGAAUGCUGCUCAAAAUGGGAGGUAUAUGUCUUCUAAAGCUAAAUACCGGCCAGAGACCGAUAGCGCACAAGUAGAGUGAUCGAAAGAUGAAAAGCACUUUGAAAAGAGAGUUAAAUAGCACGUGAAAUUGUUAAAAGGGAAGCGUUUAUGACCAGACUUGGGCCGGUUAAUCAUCCAGCGUUCUCGCUGGUGCACUUUGCCGGUCCAGGCCAGCAUCAGUUCGUCGCGGGGGAUAAAGGCGUCGGGAAUGUGGCUCCUCGGAGUGUUAUAGCCCUUCGCGCAAUACCCUGCGGUGGACUGAGGUUCGCGCUCUGCAAGGAUGCUGGCGUAAUGGUCAUCAACGACCCGUCUUGAAACACGGACCAAGGAGUCGUCUUCGUAUGCGAGUGUUCGGGUGUAAAACCCCUACGCGUAAUGAAAGUGAACGCAGGUGAGAGCUUCGGCGCAUCAUCGACCGAUCCUGAUGUUCUCGGAUGGAUUUGAGUAAGAGCAUACGGGGCCGGACCCGAAAGAAGGUGAACUAUGCCUGUAUAGGGUGAAGCCAGAGGAAACUCUGGUGGAGGCUCGCAGCGGUUCUGACGUGCAAAUCGAUCGUCAAAUAUGGGCAUGGGGGCGAAAGACUAA